ACGGGAGGCAGCAGUGGGGAAUCUUGCGCAAUGCGCGAAAGCGUGACGCAGCAACGCCGCGUGGGGGAAGAAGGCCUUCGGGUUGUAAACCCCUUUCAGUUGGGACGAAGCUUCAGUGGUGAAUAGCCGCUUGGAGUGACGGUACCUUCACAAGAAGCCCCGGCUAACUACGUGCCAGCAGCCGCGGUAAUACGUAGGGGGCUAGCGUUGUCCGGAAUCAUUGGGCGUAAAGAGCGUGUAGGCGGCCCGGUAAGUCCGCUGUGAAAGUCGGGGGCUCAACCCUCGAAUGCCGGUGGAUACUGUCGGGCUAGAGUGCGGAAGAGGCGAGUGGAAUUCCUGGUGUAGCGGUGAAAUGCGCAGAUAUCAGGAGGAACACCGAUUGCGAAGGCAGCUCGCUGGGACGUAACUGACGCUGAGACGCGAAAGCGUGGGGAGCAAACAGGAUUAGAUACCCUGGUA
Molecule: ribosomal RNA, 459 nt
Filed under: uncultured Solirubrobacterales bacterium
Lineage: Bacteria; Bacillati; Actinomycetota; Thermoleophilia; Solirubrobacterales
Description: bacterial SSU rRNA
Rfam family: Bacterial small subunit ribosomal RNA
Source: RNAcentral